UCCUGGUUAGCUCAGUUGGUAGAGCGCUCCACUGGAAAUGAAGGGGUCCCUGUUUCGAUAUCAGGACCAGGCA
This 73-nucleotide transfer RNA is filed under the name Ixodes scapularis (black-legged tick). It matches the Rfam family "tRNA". From Rfam's summary of the family: Transfer RNA (tRNA) molecules are approximately 80 nucleotides in length. Their secondary structure includes four short double-helical elements and three loops (D, anti-codon, and T loops). The record is from Rfam by way of RNAcentral. Lineage: Eukaryota; Metazoa; Arthropoda; Arachnida; Ixodida; Ixodidae.